Molecule: small RNA, 28 nt
Filed under: Bombyx mori (domestic silkworm)
Lineage: Eukaryota; Metazoa; Arthropoda; Insecta; Lepidoptera; Bombycidae
Description: piRNA piR-bmo-1413768
Source: RNAcentral
UGACUGGAAUGGUGGAGCUUCAACUCGG